Molecule: ribosomal RNA, 402 nt
Filed under: uncultured bacterium
Lineage: Bacteria
Description: bacterial SSU rRNA
Rfam family: Bacterial small subunit ribosomal RNA
Source: RNAcentral
AGCGAACGUUAGCGGCGCGCCUAACACAUGCAAGUCGCACGAGAAAGGGAGCAAUCCCCGGUACAGUGGCGCACGGGUGAGUAACACGUAGAUGACCUUCCCUGGAGUGGUGGAUAACCUGCCGAAAGGCGGGCUAAUACAGCAUGGGACCACAUGGUUUUGACCGAGUGGUGAAAGCGGGCCUCUGUUCACAAGCUCGCGCUCUGGGAUGGGUCUGCGUCCCAUCAGCUAGUUGGUGAGGUAAUGGCUCACCAAGGCAUCGACGGGUAGCUGGUCUGAGAGGAUGACCAGCCACACUGGAACUGAGACACGGUCCAGACUCCUACGGGAGGCAGCAGUGGGGAAUCUUGCGCAAUGGGCGAAAGCCUGACGCAGCGACGCCGCGUGGGUGAUGAAGGCCUU